Molecule: non-coding RNA, 69 nt
Organism: Podarcis lilfordi (Lilford's wall lizard)
Lineage: Eukaryota; Metazoa; Chordata; Lepidosauria; Squamata; Lacertidae
Source: the annotation of a GenBank genome assembly
GCUGUAGCCUAGUGGUAUAGGAUCAGCUUUGAAUGCAGAGGGCCUCAGGUUCAAUUCCAAGCAUCUCCA